RNAcentral lists this ribosomal RNA (630 nucleotides) under Triticum aestivum (bread wheat). RNAcentral's name for it is "partial small subunit ribosomal RNA". The record is from RNAcentral. Lineage: Eukaryota; Viridiplantae; Streptophyta; Magnoliopsida; Poales; Poaceae.
AUGUGGAAGGGCAGUCAGCUAUCUGUUUUGUGCAGUUCUCUUGUCAACUUCAUGCUCAAAAUGCAGAACAAAUGUUCAGAUUCAGUCCACAAAAUGUUCAACCGAAGCUACUAUAUUUUGCCUGCGAUUGUCGAGCAAUACGUGUGUGGUCCGAACUACUCAAAAAUGAGCCCUGUGAUAAAAUUUGGAACUUGUCCGAGCAUCGCAUUCUGGAUCAUGCUACUCUUUCCGCCAGGCUCCGACUUCGGCAACUACAACGCCGCCGCCGCCUUCGGCUUCCUUUGCCGCGACCCCGUCGACUCGCCGCUCCGCGACGAAGGGCCCAACUCCCAAGCUGAUCGCCAAGUGGGUUCUGUUCCAGCAGCCCGCCUGCUCAGCCUCGGCCUGCCCAACUACGGCCGCCUCGCCGACUUCUUCCGCGACGCCGGCAAGGCGGUGACCGACGAGGGCGAGCGGCUGGGCAUCGCGCGGGAGGAGGCGGUGCACAACAUCCUCUUCGCCAUGUGCUUCAACUCCUUCGGCGGCAUGAGGAUCCUGUUCCCGUCGCUGGUGAAGUGGCCGGGCCGCGCGCACCCGGCCGCCUCGCGAUGGAGGUGCGCGCCGCCGUGCGCGCCAACAGCGGCGAGGUGA